This is a long non-coding RNA of Homo sapiens (human), 1542 nucleotides long. Ensembl annotates it as MIR7515 host gene. Lineage: Eukaryota; Metazoa; Chordata; Mammalia; Primates; Hominidae. The record is from Ensembl.
ACAUGAGAACAUUGGCAAGAGUGGGGACAUGGAAGCUGUGUUCAGGCCGGUCCACGCUGGGUGACCCAUGUGACCUGCUGCUUAGCAAUUCCUUGUCACCAUCUUCCCUUCUCAGCCUCUUUUUUCAUGCUAACAGGCAUAAAUGAAAUGAUAAAAGUUUGAGCUCUUCUCGUGGAAUUCUCGUGAUACAGAUAUGUGCUACAUGUUCAUCAUCUCGUUGGUCUUCACCAUGAUAACUGUGGAGUAAGAAUUAUAAGCAGGUCACAGAUUAGGGACUUGAGAUUGACAGUUUGGCUUCCCUGUUCUGGGUGGCAAAGCCUGUGGAGUACUCACCUACCUGCUGCAUGAAGGCAGCAUGGAGGGACUGUGGUGGAUUAUCUGCAAAGAUGGCCAAAAUUCUCUCAUCCCUGCAGGCACAUACAAGGUUGUUGCAUGGCAUAAGUAAAGUGACAGUUAUAGGAUACAUGCAACUUUUCAGUGACAAAGAUCUGUGCAGCAUCGACAGUACUGCCUAAUGAGGUUUCACCAUAAUGAAGUAUCACAACCAGUUUACAGACCAGAAAACUGAGACACAGGAAGGGGUGGUGACUUGAGCAAGGUGCAUCAGCUGCCAGGUUUCCAGAAGUUCCCCAGUCAUUGAGCAUUUCUGAGGCUCUUGAUGCAUAUGCCAAGUAGUUAUGGAGAAAGACACAGCAGCUUACCUCUGCAGGCAUCAUUGUGUGAAAGGAAGACCCAGGCUCUCUCACCACCCUUGAACAGAAGCCUUUUGCUAAGGUGAUAGCUACAUGUCCAAGCCUAUUGCGUGGCAUGCAUUUUGCCUUCUGCAGCCCACUAAAGGAAAUUGAAGUAUACAGAAUGCUUAUUUGGUCUACUCAGUAUCAUCCUAAAUGUAUGUACCAAUGCUUAGGAGUUUGCAGUUCACCCGCAAACCUCAGCGAUCCAAGCUCCCCUGGAUGACCAUCACUCACCAAGAAAAGAGCAAUAACAGGACCUGUUUUGCUAAUCCAGGACUGUUCUCCAGCACUAACUCUAAAUAAUCCCUUCUGCUAGAGUCCACUUUCUGGAACCUGUUGCCUCCGUUUUCAACGUUUCCCAAACUUGGUCCGUUGUGUGAGCUGGCUGAUAAAAGUUCCAGGUAACCUUCCUUGUUCUCAAGGUCCAUUUUCCAGGAAAAUCUGAGUCAUGGUGCUGGGGAGGACACUUAAGUACAUCAGUCAAUCAGAUGAUUAUUAAAUUUAGGAAAUAGUAGAUCAACUGGAUUAACUGGAUUAAAAUGCAGAAUCCCAGGCCCCAGCCCAGACCUACUGAACCAGCAUCUGCUCUUUAACAAGAGCCCCAUGUGAUGUGUGGGACAGAAAACUUUGUGAAGCACAGGGCUAGACAGUCUCUAAAGUCUUCUGCAGAUCAGAAACGCAGCAAUUCUGAGGUUUUCUUCAAUUUUCUAAUGUUAUUUCCAGCUCUUUCCCCUCUCUUCUUUCCUUGAUAUGCUGAGGAAAACUUUCUCUGUGAUAAGCAGAGUAGGUGUCUUGUUCUGUGAAUUUC